This 468-nucleotide ribosomal RNA is filed under the name uncultured bacterium. RNAcentral's name for it is "partial 16S ribosomal RNA". It matches the Rfam family "Bacterial small subunit ribosomal RNA", at positions 28 to 507 of the family's 1533-position model. The record is from RNAcentral.
GACGAACGCUGGCGGCGUGCUUAACACAUGCAAGUCGAACGGAAAGGCCCUGCUUUUGUGGGGUGCUCGAGUGGCGAACGUGUGAGUAACACGUGAGUAACCUGCCCUUUACUUUGGGAUAACUUCAGGAAACUGGGGCUAAUACCGGAUAGGAGCUCCUGCUGCAUGGUGGGGGUUGGAAAGUUUCGGCGGUUGGGGAUGGACUCGCGGCUUAUCAGCUUGUUGGUGGGGUAGUGGCUUACCAAGGCUUUGACGGGUAGCCGGCCUGAGAGGGUGACCGGCAACAUGGGGACUGAGAUACGGCCCAGACUCCUACGGGAGGCAGCAGUGGGGAAUAUUGCACAAUGGGCGGAAGCCUGAUGCAGCAACGCCGCGUGCGGGAUGACGGCCUUCGGGUUGUAAACCGCUUUCGCCUGUGACGAAGCGUGAGUGACGGUAAUGGGUAAAGAAGCACCGGCUAACUACGUG